Molecule: ribosomal RNA, 642 nt
Filed under: uncultured fungus
Lineage: Eukaryota; Fungi
Description: LSU rRNA
Rfam family: Eukaryotic large subunit ribosomal RNA
Source: RNAcentral
CCAGCCUGGAUUGAGGUCCGCGCAUCUGCUAGGAUGCUGGUGUAAUGGCUGUAAGCGGCCUGUCUUGAAACACGGACCAAGGAGUCUAACAUCUAUGCGAGUGUUUGGGUGUCAAGCCCGAGCGCGUAAUGAAAGUGAACGGAGGUAGGAACCCGCAAGGGUGCACUAUCGACCGAUCCUGAUGUCUUCGGAAGGAUUUGAGUAAGAGCAUGGCUGUUGGGACCCGAAAGAUGGUGAACUAUGCUUGAAUAGGGUGAAGCCAGAGGAAACUUUGGUGGAGGCUCGCAGUGGUUCUGACGUGCAAAUCGAUCGUCAAAUUUGGGCAUAGGGGCGAAAGACUAAUCGAACUAUCUAGUAGCUGGUUCCUGCCGAAGUUUCCCUCAGGAUAGCAGUAACGUAUUCAGUUUUAUGAGGUAAAGCGAAUGAUUAGAGGCCUGGGGGUCGAAAUGACCUUCACCUAUUCUCAAACUUUAAAUAUGUAAGAAGUCCUUGUUACUUAAUUGAACGUGGACAGUUGAAUGAAACGUUAUUAGUGGGCCAUUUUUGGUAAGCAGAACUGGCGAUGCGGGAUGAACCGAACGAGGGGUUAAAGUGCCGGAAUACACGCUCAUCAGACACCACAAAAGGUGUUGGUUCAUCUAG